Moraxella porci DSM 25326 is the source of this 405-nucleotide non-coding RNA. The record is from Rfam. NCBI's taxonomy places the organism in Bacteria, Pseudomonadati, Pseudomonadota, Gammaproteobacteria, Moraxellales, Moraxellaceae.
UUGGCAGACCAGACAAUCGCUGUCCGACCACUCAAUUUAAUUGGCAUGAUAAGUUGCUAUACCCAUGCAAAUACAGUUAAAUUCAGUGGUCGGAGGGAGGAAAGUCCGGGCUACACAGGGCAGCGUGCUAGCUAACGGCUAGGGGGCGAAAGCCUACGACCAGUGCAACAGAGAACAGACCGCCAACGCCAAUCGGCACGGUAAGGGUGAAACGGUGGGGUAAGAGCCCACCGCAUGACUGGCAACAGCUCAUGGCAAGGUAAACUCCACGCGUAGCAAGACCAAAUAGGUGUCCAAUCGGUUGCCCGCCGAGGAUACGGGUAGGUUGCUCGAGCGUGUCAGCGAUGGCACGCCUAGAUGAAUGAUUGUCCACGACAGAACCCGGCUUAUCGGUUUGCCAAUUUA